GACGAACGCUGGCGGCGUGCCUAAUACAUGCAAGUAGAACGCUGAAGAGAGGAGCUUGCUCUUCUUGGAUGAGUUGCGAACGGGUGAGUAACGCGUAGGUAACCUGCCUUGUAGCGGGGGAUAACUCUUAGAAACGAUAGCUAAUACCGCAUAACAAUGGAUGACACAUGUCAUCUAUUUGAAAGGGGCAAUUGUUCCACUACAAGAUGGACCUGCGUUGUAUUAGCUAGUAGGUGAGGUAAUGGCUCACCUAGGCGACGAUACAUAACCGACCAGGGAGGGUGAUCGGCGAAGCUGGGACUGGAAGACGGCCCAGACCCCUACGGGAGGCAGCAGUAGGGAAUCUUCGGCAAUGGGGGCAACCCUGAACGAGCAACGCCGCGGGAGUGAAGAAGGUUUUCGGAUCGUAAAGGUCUGUUGUAAGUCAAGAACGGGUGUGAGAGUGGAAAGUGCACACUGUGACGGUAGCGUACCAGAAAGGGACGGCUAACUACGUG
RNAcentral lists this ribosomal RNA (497 nucleotides) under uncultured bacterium. Its description in RNAcentral is "partial 16S ribosomal RNA". It matches the Rfam family "Bacterial small subunit ribosomal RNA", at positions 28 to 507 of the family's 1533-position model. The record is from RNAcentral.